AUGAACGCUGGCGGCAUGCCUAACACAUGCAAGUCGAACGAAGGCUUCGGCCUUAGUGGCGCACGGGUGCGUAACGCGUGGGAAUCUGCCCUUGGGUUCGGAAUAACAGCUAGAAAUGGCUGCUAAUACCGGAUGAUGACGUAAGUCCAAAGAUUUAUCGCCCAGGGAUGAGCCCGCGUAGGAUUAGCUAGUUGGUGGGGUAAAGGCUCACCAAGGCGACGAUCCUUAGCUGGUCUGAGAGGAUGAUCAGCCACACUGGGACUGAGACACGGCCCAGACUCCUACGGGAGGCAGCAGUGGGGAAUAUUGGACAAUGGGCGCAAGCCUGAUCCAGCAAUGCCGCGUGAGUGAUGAAGGCCUUAGGGUUGUAAAGCUCUUUUACCCGGGAUGAUAAUGACAGUACCGGGAGAAUAAGCUCCGGCUAACUCCGU
Molecule: ribosomal RNA, 431 nt
Filed under: uncultured bacterium
Lineage: Bacteria
Description: bacterial SSU rRNA
Rfam family: Bacterial small subunit ribosomal RNA
Source: RNAcentral